This is a long non-coding RNA of Drosophila gunungcola (fruit fly), 320 nucleotides long. RefSeq lists it as uncharacterized. The transcript has 3 exons. Lineage: Eukaryota; Metazoa; Arthropoda; Insecta; Diptera; Drosophilidae. The record is from RefSeq and is a predicted model, not a curated record.
UUUUUCCCCUAGUGUGGGUACAGGGAAAGAGUCUGCGACUGCGGCCUGCGACCGGGUCCGCUCGUCUUUCAUUUUCGUGACUGUUGUCCGUGGAACGGGGAGCUCAGGCGAUGGAGAGGUGACCAAACCCGAGUGCGAAUCUGGAGUCCCCGGAUCGACCCACGCGAAAAUAUCACCAUCACAACCGGAUGCUGAGCGGAGUUUGCAUAUUUAACUUCAAUUUGUGGGCUCAAAAUUAUAAAGGUUACUCUAAAGGCGUAAUAUUAUGGAAGCUAGAGAAAUGUUAAAUUAAAAAUGGACUAAUACAACCAGACUUUCUU